GCGGGAGUAGCUCAGCUGGAUAGAGCAUCGGUCUUCUAAACCGAGGGUCCUGGGUUCGAAUCCCAGCUUCCGUGCCA
This 77-nucleotide transfer RNA is filed under the name Opitutia bacterium. RNAcentral's name for it is "tRNA-Arg". It matches the Rfam family "tRNA". Rfam says of the family: Transfer RNA (tRNA) molecules are approximately 80 nucleotides in length. Their secondary structure includes four short double-helical elements and three loops (D, anti-codon, and T loops). RNAcentral also lists the same sequence under 1 other name. The record is from RNAcentral. Lineage: Bacteria; Pseudomonadati; Verrucomicrobiota; Opitutia.